Molecule: unclassified non-coding RNA, 253 nt
Filed under: uncultured Caryophanales bacterium
Lineage: Bacteria; Bacillati; Bacillota; Bacilli; Caryophanales
Description: uncultured Bacillales bacterium contains 16S-23S intergenic spacer region
Rfam family: Bacterial small subunit ribosomal RNA
Source: RNAcentral
UACGUAGGUGGCAAGCGUUGUCCGGAAUUACUGGGCGUAAAGCGCGCGUAGGUGGUGGGUUAAGUUGGAUGUGAAAGCCCACGGCUCAACCGUGGAGGGUCAUUGGAAACUGGGGGACUUGAGUACAGAAGAGGAAAGCGGAAUUCCACGUGUAGCGGUGAAAUGCGUAGAGAUGUGGAGGAACACCAGUGGCGAAGGCGACUUUCUGGUCUGUAACUGACGCUGGGGCGCGAGAGCGUGGGGAGCAAACAGG